This is a long non-coding RNA of Empidonax traillii (willow flycatcher), 247 nucleotides long. RefSeq lists it as uncharacterized. The record is from RefSeq and is a predicted model, not a curated record. NCBI's taxonomy places the organism in Eukaryota, Metazoa, Chordata, Aves, Passeriformes, Tyrannidae. The transcript is spliced from 3 exons.
GGAGCACCAGGGGGGCCAGCAGGGCCGGUCUCACCACGGUCACCCUGUGAGGAGGAGGAAGAGGAGGAGGAAGAGGAGGAAGAGGAGAGGGGGUCCAGCGCUUCCACGAGCACCUUUGGGACCAGGAGCACCAACAGCACCCUGUGAGGGAAGGAGGAGGAGGUAGAGGAGGAGACACGGGCACCCACCUUGGGGCCAGCGAUGCCAUCAGCGCCAGGGAAACCGCGGCUGCCUGGAGCACCCUGCG